Molecule: long non-coding RNA, 846 nt
Filed under: Geospiza fortis (medium ground-finch)
Lineage: Eukaryota; Metazoa; Chordata; Aves; Passeriformes; Thraupidae
Description: lncRNA (ENSGFOG00000003690.1)
Source: RNAcentral
UCCCAAAUGUACCCAAAAUUGGACAAUAAGAGUUAUCAAUGGAGGUGUUUUAUGGAGCACUGAAACCCCCCUAAAACAUCCCAAAUGUACCCAAAAUUGGACAAUAAGAGUUAUCAAUGGAGGUGUUUCUGCUCCAGCACUGAAACCCCCCUAAAAUGUACCCAAAAUUGGACAAUAAGAGUUAUCAAUGGAGGUGUUUCUGGUGCCGGACUGAAACCCCCCUAAAAUGUACCCAAAAUUGGACAAUAAGGGUUAUCAAUGGAGGUGUUUCUGCUCCGGGUUAUCAAUGGAGGUGUUUCUGCUCCGGGUUAUCAAUGGAGGUGUUUCUGCUCCGGGUUAUCAAUGGAGGUGUUUCUACUCCGGGUUAUCAAUGGAGGUGUUUCUGCUCCAGCCCCCCGCACCAACCCCAGGCUGAGCACAGCCCGGUGCCACCCCAGAAAUCCCAUUAUUCCCAUUUUCCCCCCCAUUUUCUCCCAGGAGAGGAAGGCGUUCCUGCGCGGCCCGAGGGAACGCUGCUGUGCUGCAGGGAGCAGCUCGGUGCCAGGCACUCACACGUGUCACCAGAGGUCACCUUGUCCCCUCCCUCCCCAAAGCCAGGCGCGGAUCCCAGCCCAGCCAUGGGGAGCAGAGGGGCAGAACCCCCCAAAUCCCCAAUUCCCACUGGGAAUUCCCUGCCAGGCCAGCACCUACCAGCGCUGGGGAGCCGAGGAGAGCCACGGGAGCCUGCAUUGUGCUGGAUCUGCAACGGGGAAAACACAGAAAUUGUAAAUAAAUUUAAACAAAAAGAACGGGAUCGCGGCCAGGCCACCCCAGCGGGGUCACACGCUGAGCUCCUCACGGGGCACU